Molecule: ribosomal RNA, 253 nt
Filed under: uncultured bacterium
Lineage: Bacteria
Description: partial 16S ribosomal RNA
Rfam family: Bacterial small subunit ribosomal RNA
Source: RNAcentral
CACGUAGGGCGCAAGCGUUGUCCGGAAUUACUGGGCGUAAAGGGCUCGUAGGCGGCCAACUAAGUCAGACGUGAAAUCCCUCGGCUUAACCGGGGAACUGCGUCUGAUACUGGAUGGCUUGAAUCCGGGAGAGGGAUGCGGAAUUCCAGGUGUAGCGGUGAAAUGCGUAGAUAUCUGGAGGAACACCGGUGGCGAAGGCGGCAUCCUGGACCGGCAUUGACGCUGAGGAGCGAAAGCCAGGGGAGCAAACGGG